Acanthaster planci (crown-of-thorns starfish) is the source of this 3332-nucleotide RNA transcript. RefSeq lists it as uncharacterized. Lineage: Eukaryota; Metazoa; Echinodermata; Asteroidea; Valvatida; Acanthasteridae. The record is from RefSeq and is a predicted model, not a curated record.
GGGACUUUCUCGCUGCUUACGUAUUUUUGGACUAUUUCUCCAGCGCAUUGUUCGGACCCCUUUCAAAUUAUUUGUCUUUUCAAAAUCUUUUAGNUAGUCUGCAUGAAUCGUAUAUUAAAACUCAAGUUGAUAUCGAAAGUCGGGAAGUGCCCUUGUUCUAAAAUUAGAGUGUGACGUCACGGUACUGUGCACUGUACUGCAGCAUGGCGAAGACAUUUUGGAUACCAAUGUAGUACAGUUACGUGCAGUGCCGAAGACCAAAGCGCUGGCUGUCGUGCUGCUUUCAGUUUUGACCUUCUGUACUACUUCAAUACUUACCACGACAUGACAGUAUGAAAGACAUCACUGAUAUGGGCUCAGAACAACGUGCCCAUUUGCUGAGCUUUCUUGAUUAUCCUAAAACUGGGAGUUGCAAUUGGAUUCCGUCCGCCAGAUGGGAGGCCUCCAUGCAGCAUCAGCAGUCGAAACUUCGAGAGGAUGGUCAUGUUGGGCAACUACAGUGUGCUGCCAUCAUAUAGUGCUGCCGCACCGCUGCGUCUCGGGAUGGCAGGGCCUACCAACUCUCAGAGUGGGGGGAAGCCUCUUAAUCUCAGCAGGGCAAAUGGCACCAAGAUUUCUACACCCGGGAGGUCCUGUGACACUGAGCAGGCCAGAAGUGUAGAGGCUGGUGGGUGUUCGGACCUUCCGCGUCCUCUGGCCACCUACAAGGAGCUGAUAAGGGAUGUUGAUCAGGGUGUUUGUACUGAACCAGGGUGCUCAAGUGAUGUCAGUGAGCUGCCAAAGGGGCGUCCUAGCACAUCCAUCACUNUGCUCUCCCGGUAUGAUGCCCCAAGACUCCGUCGACUCUCCUCCAAGGAGCCCCCACCAGAAAGCAUUGCCGGACAGAGCAUCAGCUUCUGAAUCCGAUCAGCCGGAGCUUUCUCAAAGUCUGGAGUCGUCAGAGAGCACUGCAACACCGCACAGUACUUUGGAUGAUUCAGGACACACUGCUGGUCAUCCUUCGAGCACUCAUUAUUUGUACGAUUUUAUGAUAAUAUGCCAUCCGGAUGAUGAGCAGGAAUCAGAAUGUAUCUAUAACUUGCUAGAGAGAGAACUGAGUUUAAAUGGGUAUCAGUACAGUCGGGAUAAAACUGGGGGAAAUUACAUGCUGAGGGAGAUGAUCAAGGCCAUUCAGAAUUGUCGCAAAGUCUUCUUGUUUGUCACUCCUCGAUCCUUAAAAUGCUCAAUGUUUGAGCGACACAUGCAUUGCAGUCUGAAUAACUCCAUAGAAUCCAAUCGUAAAAAUGUAAUACCGGUUUAUUGGCAGCUUUCUCGGGAUAAGGGUCCUAGUGUCAUGAGGGGAAUUUACAGUCUUGUUUAUGACGGCUGUAGUGAUGAGUUCCGGAAACAAAUGAUGAGGAUAUUUGCAUUGUCUCAAUCAUCUACUUCAUCAAUGCCUAGAAGUUCUAGACGAGAUCGAGGGGCGCCAUGUGCCAGUUCCCCUAAGCUGACACAUUCAAUGAGUCCACUUUCUGGAACAAGAAAGUUUUUUCGCUGGUUUUCUUCUAAAAAGUGAAAUAAGACUGAUUAAUUUAAUGUUUAGGCAGCAUGUUAUUUGGUGUUUCUUUAGAAUUUGUUAUUUAUGGUGUUUUGAGCUAUUAACUGUGUUUUAGCUAUUAAGUGUGACAAAUGGAAUGAAAUUCCACCAGAUGUUAUCUUGAGCAUGAUAACAAAUUUCAGAUAAAUAUUCUUGCUGGCAAUAGCAUAGAAGAAUGUUGAUUGAACAUGUGGAAUCAAAGCAAAUAAUAAAGAGUGGUUGUGUUCAAAGUACAGACUGUAUGAAAAGCAAAUGAAUCAAUAUUGAUACGAAAAGAAAACACUCUGCCUUUUGUGUUAUUGUGCUGGGCUAAGGUAUCAUUUAAUUUGAGUAAGUGGAAUAGAAACUGCACUCUGAUAUGCAGUGUUGAAGAAUAUACACAUUGUGGCAGAACUCAGACCACAGACACUUGAAGUGAACCUCCAGCAAAGAUCACUGACUCGAUGUUACACUCAGGACAGGAAACAACCAAAAGCAAGAGGGCCAAACUCUCUGCCAUUGGAACACUAACUAAUGUGGCUUGCAUAUGUGGCAAAAGUCAAAAGGGGGAGCUUGGGCCCAAGUAAACUAACGGGCCACAAUACCAAGAAAUACAAGGGACACUAAACAAUAGUUAAUGACUGUCUCGAGGGGAGCUACCCCUUUAUAAAAAAAGGGAAAUUUAAAAUCUAAUUUCUGAUUCUGCCACAGAAACCAUUGAUCCUGUCAGUUUUUGUAUAGUCUGCAGUACACUGGAGCAAACCUGGCUGUCACGUGUAAAUUACGCUGGUGGAAAUUGUGUGUAUCUGGUUAAAGAUUAGCUUUUGGAAUGUACAGUGAAUAGCAAGGCAGGGCUCAGUGGGCAUUCCAGACCAUGAGGGUGUAGUUUUUUGGGGGGGGGCACCAACAUCACUUUGGAAUAUUUGAUUUCUAUGGCAAUUUUCAACUCAAUGGGAGAGUUUUCAGAUGCUAGGUGACGGGAAACUCACUCCUCCCACAUGACUGAUAUACUGUUGUUUGCAUGUGCACAUUAGCUCAAACAUGACGCCAACUACAAUGUAUGGACUGGUCACGUGAGAUUGAUUUGUUUGCCGUCAACAAUCGUAGGCAGCAAAAGUUGUGAGGGGGGCACCUAAUUUUGACAGCAACCCCCCCACUCUUGGUUCUUUGUGGUCAAUUCUGGUCUGGUUUUGGUUGGCUUGCUGUAUAGGAAAGCUUUCACAACUGCCAUCUUGAUGGGCCCUUUCCUCUCGUUAGGUUCAUGUAAAAAAAUGCUGCUUUUUGAAAUUUGAAAAUAGAACAAAAUCAAAACCUCUCUUUCUGACCACUUAAUAUAUGAAAUCUGUUGGCUGGGGUGCUUAAUAUUCCCCUCCUGUUUGAUAAUCCAUACACUUUUUAUUAAAAGGUAUUUGUCAGAAAGAAUAUUAAAACCAUUAAUUAAGAUCUGUACUUGUGAAGAAAUGCACUUCAAAGUUAUACAAAAAGCAAUGCCACACUGUAGUGUAUUCCCACUGUUUAUCAUGUGUGACCUCAAAAGGUGUUUUGGUUUCAUUGGAUAGAAAAACAAACUUUCCUUUCCCAUACCCUGUGCGGUGGUUGACUCUUUGUGAGAAUAAUUAUAAUGUCCAAAUGGCUCCACAGAUUUGAUGAUGAGUCGACACAUGUUCAUGUAGGUUCCGUGAUCUAUGUGGCUUCAACCAACGAGUUCAUUUCAGUGCUUAUUGAUAUAGGUUGGGUAAGGGCAAAACCUGUUAUAUAUAAUUAACAUCUCCCCAAC